RNAcentral lists this ribosomal RNA (915 nucleotides) under uncultured archaeon. RNAcentral describes it as "bacterial SSU rRNA". It matches the Rfam family "Archaeal small subunit ribosomal RNA", at positions 1 to 922 of the family's 1478-position model. The record is from RNAcentral.
UUCCGGUUGAUCCUGCCGGAGGUCACUGCUAUUGGGAUUCGACUAAGCCAUGCGAGUCGAGAGGGUUCGGCCCUCGGCAUACGGCUCAGUAACACGUGGAUAAUCUGCCCUUAGGUGGAGGAUAAUCUCGGGAAACUGAGAAUAAUACUCCAUAGAUUUAAGAUGCUGGAAUGCACUUAAAUUAAAAGUUCCGGCGCCUAAGGAUGAGUCUACGGACUAUCAGGUAGUAGUUAGGGUAAAGACCUGACUAGCCUAUGACGGAUACGGGUUGUGAGAGCAAUAACCCGGAGACGAUAUCUGAGACACGAUAUCGGGCCCUACGGGGCGCAGCAGGCGCGAAAACUUCACACUGUGCGAAAGCGCGAUGAGGGAAUCCCAAGUGCUUGCUUGUAAAAGUAAGCUGUUUUUAUGUUUAAAAAGCAUGAAGAGUAAGGGCUGGGUAAGACGGGUGCCAGCCGCCGCGGUAAUACCUGCAGCUCAAGUAGUGAUCGCUAUUAUUGGGCCUAAAACGUUCGUAGCCGGUUUGGUAAAUGCCUGGGUAAAUCGUGUAGCUUAACUAUACGAAUUCCGGGUAGACUGCCAAACUAGAGACCGGGAGAGGCUAGAGGUACUCCUAGGGUAGAGGUGAAAUUCUGUAAUCCUGGGGGGACCACCAGUGGCGAAGGCGUCUAGCUAGAACGGGUCUGACGGUGAGGAACGAAGCCCUGGGGCGCGAACCGGAUUAGAUACCCGGGUAGUCCAGGGUGUAAACGCUGCUUGCUUGAUGUUAGUUGGGCUCCGAGCCCAAUUAGUGUCGGAGAGAAGUUGUUAAGCAAGCUGCCUGGGAAGUACGAUCGCAAGAUUGAAACUUAAAGGAAUUGGCGGGGGAGCACAGCAACGGGUGGAGCGUGCGGUUUAAUUGGAUUCAACGCCGGG